UUUGGGAAUGGAACGCCGGUGUCUUGGUGUCUCGGAGCUGGGGGCACGGAGCCCGGGCCGCUACCCACCCCCACUCGGGCCGAGGGGUCCCCAGGGGCCCGCGUCUGCGCGCUACGGGCCGGGGCGCCCCCCCCCGCGUGGGCACCCUGGGCUCGGUGGCCCCCGGGGCCGGCCUGUAGAGCUGGAUGUGCGCGGCCGAGCUGACGGCAAAAAGAGUCCCGGAAGACCUGGCCUUGCAGCCUUCCCGAGAGGGGCCCCGAGGGCUCCCGGAGGCGGCGGCGUGCGCGGGGUGCUGACCUUGGAGCCCCGUCCGGGCGCGGCACUGGAGGGCUGGGCUCCGCGCGUCCCUGAGGUCGGAGGGGCCCCGAGACCAGAGCCCCCUCGCGCGCACAGGGCCAGGUCCGGUCCCCAAACCCGUGGCGCGCGGUCGGAAGGGAGACGCGAGGGGAGCCCGAGGGGACGGACCCGAAAGGUCCCGGCCACCUGGGUCAGCGUCUGCCAUGUAGUCGGUGCUCAGUAAAAACGGUAGAUGGAUGGAUGGAGUCGCAUCUUCUGACCUGUGCAUCAGAGUAGUGGAUCCACAUCGUGUCUCAGUGCUUACUUCUGUUGUUCAAAGAGAAGGAUUGUCAGCAUGGAAGUCAUAUUUUGUUAAAUUAAAAAAAAGACAGUAAUUUUCUGAA
Suricata suricatta (meerkat) is the source of this 680-nucleotide long non-coding RNA. RefSeq lists it as uncharacterized. The transcript is spliced from 2 exons. NCBI's taxonomy places the organism in Eukaryota, Metazoa, Chordata, Mammalia, Carnivora, Herpestidae. The record is from RefSeq and is a predicted model, not a curated record.